RNAcentral lists this transfer RNA (74 nucleotides) under Bacteroidota bacterium. RNAcentral's name for it is "Bacteroidetes bacterium (activated sludge metagenome) tRNA-Arg". It matches the Rfam family "tRNA". Rfam says of the family: Transfer RNA (tRNA) molecules are approximately 80 nucleotides in length. Their secondary structure includes four short double-helical elements and three loops (D, anti-codon, and T loops). RNAcentral also lists the same sequence under 1 other name. Lineage: Bacteria; Pseudomonadati; Bacteroidota. The record is from RNAcentral.
GGUCCCGUAGCUCAACUGGAUAGAGCAACAGCCUUCUAAGCUGUGGGUUGCAGGUUCGAUUCCUGCCGGGAUCA